RNAcentral lists this ribosomal RNA (396 nucleotides) under uncultured bacterium. Its description in RNAcentral is "partial 16S ribosomal RNA". It matches the Rfam family "Bacterial small subunit ribosomal RNA", at positions 523 to 918 of the family's 1533-position model. The record is from RNAcentral.
AUACGGAGGAUGCGAGCGUUAUCCGGAUUUAUUGGGCUUAAAGGGUGCGUAGGCGGGCUGUUAAGCGUGAGGUGAAAGCUCGGGGCUCAACCCCGGAACUGCCUCGCGAACUGGCGGACUUGAAUGUCCGUGACGUGGGAGGAAUGCGUGGUGUAGCGGUGAAAUGCAUAGAGAUCACACAGAACACCGAUUGCGAAGGCGUCUCACGAACGGAUGAUUGACGCUGAGGCACGAAAGCGUGGGGAUCAAACAGGAUUAGAUACCCUGGUAGUCCAUGCUAUAAACGAUGAUUACUAGGUGUGGGUGGACUGACGCCAUCCGUGCCGGAGUUAACGCAUUAAGUAAUCCACCUGGGGAGUACGGCCGCAAGGUUGAAACUCAAAGGAAUUGACGGGG